This 846-nucleotide long non-coding RNA is filed under the name Homo sapiens (human). RNAcentral describes it as "HSALNT0009721". The record is from RNAcentral. Lineage: Eukaryota; Metazoa; Chordata; Mammalia; Primates; Hominidae.
CAGCAUUUCAAGGACUGGACGUGAGGGGGAUCCCACACCAAGACGAAUGAGAAUUCCCUUCCCUUCUGAGUUGACCACAACUGAGUAAGCUAGGUCCCUGACAUUUCUAGUUAACAAAACUAAAUGGGAGACUCUCUCUCAGGAGGAUCCUGCACCAAGACGAAUGAGAAUUUCCCUUCCCUUCUGAGGUGACCACAACUGAGUAAGCUAGGUCUCUGACACUUCUAGUUAAGAAAGCUUAGAGACCCUCUCAGUUCACAAAACAUUUCGGCAAGUAAUAAAGACUAGCCUGAUGAGUAUAAAAUCAAAUCAUCUUAGGAACUGGCUGCUUUUAACAGGGCACAUGAUUUACAUUCUUGUUUCUUUUUUUAACUGCAGAAGUGUUUCACAUGUAGCCUGACCUAUUGUACCAGAAAGAAGCCAAUCCAUUUAGGACUGUAAAAAUCAGGAAAUACUUAGAACAGCACUUGAAUGUCAAGUUAUUCUAUCAACACAGACAAAAGGCUUUUUCUCCCAAAGUACCCCAAGACAAGGCCAAUACUAACCAGACGCCAAAAUAAGACCAAUAAUUACCCACAAUAAUCAUUUUCUCCGGCAUGCGGACCAGUCGAUAUCCCCAAGGUCAAAUAUGAGCAAACUGUGCCAUAGGUAUGAAAUGCACGCUUUGUUCGAGGUUGUACGGGGCACUGACCGGAACUUUACACUCCAGGAUCGUUUCGAAAAAUGCUUAUUCAAUCCACAGUUUAAGUUAUGCAAUAAUUCGCUUAAAAGUAUGUGUUCAACGGACAAGAGAAGUUGAAGGUAAGAAUUUAAUACUAAAGGAAGUAGGUUUGGGAAAGAUCAAAU